GGGAUAGCUCAGUCGGCAGAGCAUGAGACUCUAAAUAUCAGGGUUGUGGGUUUGAGCCCCAUCUUGGGACU
Molecule: non-coding RNA, 71 nt
Organism: Podarcis lilfordi (Lilford's wall lizard)
Lineage: Eukaryota; Metazoa; Chordata; Lepidosauria; Squamata; Lacertidae
Source: the annotation of a GenBank genome assembly